RNAcentral lists this ribosomal RNA (399 nucleotides) under Triticum aestivum (bread wheat). RNAcentral's name for it is "partial small subunit ribosomal RNA". Lineage: Eukaryota; Viridiplantae; Streptophyta; Magnoliopsida; Poales; Poaceae. The record is from RNAcentral.
AUGAAGUUUCUUCGAACAGAUCUGAGUGAAAACUUGCUUUUGACUACUGCAAAGGCCGGCGGUGGCGAUGCUGUCUGUGUCGUUCCCUUCUUGAAGGCAUCACCGUGGAGAAGUUCAAGGUCACUCUCUGCUACCUCCGGGGGAAACCCUAGAUCAGUUGAUCGGAUGAUAGCGGCGCUCUGGUGUUGUUUCCCCCUUGGGGGCGUCAUUCAUGGAGGUACACACGGGCUCGGGGAACAGAGGACGAUUUCUUUGGUGGAGUGGUACUUCAUCUUAUACAUUGAUGGCGUCGGAUCUUGGCGGCGUGGCGUUGUGGAGAUCCGGAGUCCGAUGCGCGGAGAUGAACUCGCGCAGGGAGGUGGCCCUGUCUGGCGUCGUGAUGGCGUCGACGGCAGUUAG